UGGGGAAUCUUGCACAAUGGGCGCAAGCCUGAUGCAGCAACGCCGCGUGCGGGAAGACGGCCCUAGGGUUGUAAACCGCUUUCAGGAGGGAAGAAAAUGACGGUACCUCCAGAAGAAGGUGCGGCCAACUACGUGCCAGCAGCCGCGUGACACGUAGGCACCAAGCGUUAUCCGGAUUUAUUGGGCGUAAAGAGCUCGUAGGCGGUUCGGUAAGUCGGGUGUGAAAUCCAAGGCUCAACCUUGGGACGCCACCCGAUACUGCUGUGACUCGAGUGCAGUAGGGGAAGCAGGGAAUUCCUGGUGUAGCGGUGGAAUGCGCAGAUAUCAGGAGGAACACCGGUGGCGAAGGCGGGUCUCUGGGGCCGGAACUGACGCUGAGGAGCGAAAGCGUGGGGAGCGAACAGGAUUAGAUACCCUGGGUAGUCCACGCCGUAAACGGUGGGCGCUAGGUGUGGGGAUCGUUUCCACGAUCGUCCGUGCCGUAGCUAACGCAUUAAGCGCCCCGCCUGGGAGUACGGCCGCAAGGCU
This 528-nucleotide ribosomal RNA is filed under the name uncultured bacterium. Its description in RNAcentral is "bacterial SSU rRNA". It matches the Rfam family "Bacterial small subunit ribosomal RNA", at positions 355 to 895 of the family's 1533-position model. The record is from RNAcentral.